RNAcentral lists this long non-coding RNA (595 nucleotides) under Serinus canaria (Common canary). RNAcentral's name for it is "lncRNA (ENSSCAG00000003237.1)". The record is from RNAcentral. Lineage: Eukaryota; Metazoa; Chordata; Aves; Passeriformes; Fringillidae.
AAAGAAAUCCUGCCUUGUGUCUGAGCUUGAUUAAGGCCUUUUGCCUCUCCAACUGCACUAAGGUGAUAAAAUCCUUCGUGAGAGUGAGUGGGGAAAUAUUACUUAGGAAAUCUGCAAUUUCAAGACUUACCUCUGAUCAGACUCUUCCUUGAACUCGUGAAAUAUGUUCCAAGUUUCCAGAAUUGGCAAGAUGGCAGUUCAGAAGGUUCUUGCAGCUCUCAUGAGGAAUCUAAACAUCAAAUGGGCAUCAAGAGAGCACCUGAGAAGGAACCAGUGUUACCCCUUCUGAAGCACCAUGGUAGGACCAUCAAGCAAAGCUGCACUGCUUUAUUCCCUUGUGAUCCUUCUCUUUGAAUCAAAUGGAGAAUUUUAACCUCUGAGAUAAAAAAAGUUUGUAUUUCAAUGCUAUGACAAUGGCUUAUGAUGAUUUCAAUAUAAGUUGAAAUAUGUACUUUCUCAGUGAAAUGCUUGCAGUCACUCUCUUGGGAUGUUUCUUUUUGUUCUGUAUUGUAGAAAAUUACUGUUGACUGGACAGCAGAUGCUUUCCUUACUGAGACUUGUUUACAUUUAGAUUUGGAGUAAAUGAUUUUUAAAA